CUGCAUAUUCCUGUGACAGAGUCCUGUGGACAACAACUGAAACAAUCCAUGCAG
Molecule: small nucleolar RNA, 54 nt
Filed under: Castor canadensis (American beaver)
Lineage: Eukaryota; Metazoa; Chordata; Mammalia; Rodentia; Castoridae
Description: Small nucleolar RNA SNORA73 family (ENSCCNG00000012211.1)
Source: RNAcentral